Molecule: non-coding RNA, 947 nt
Filed under: Pan troglodytes (chimpanzee)
Lineage: Eukaryota; Metazoa; Chordata; Mammalia; Primates; Hominidae
Source: RNAcentral
AAGCCAUGGGACUGGAAGGCAGCAGGCAGAUGUCAGGGUUGGGGAUUACUGGCUCAGAAGCAGGAAAUCUCAUGUAGAAGCCCAGAACUUUCAAGAGAUAAGAAGUAGAGAGAUUCUGGUUUAAAGAGAGAUGACAGAAGCCCUGAAUGUCCUCUCUUCUGCUCCCCCAGAUACCUUCAUGGACUACAGGGCUGUACAUACGGGUCAUGGGAUACAUGAACUUCAGGCUUAAUCUCUGUGUGAGAAAAACAGCAUGAAGAUAAUCAACUCUAUGUCAGAAGAAAUUGGCAACACUACUAACCAAGAGUAAUGCACACCGAAGAAUUCACCUUCUUAUGGAGUCACCUUCAUCCCUCUGCUCAGCAAACAUGUCUCUCCUAUAAGCAAAUUCAAUGAGGAAUUUUUCCCCUUUAUUGUUGACACAGUAUCUCUUUACAACGGUGAAGGACAUGUUUGCUUCCUCUUCUGCUAUGAUUAAGUUUCAUGAGGCCUCCCCAGCCCUUCAGAACCUGGCAGCUACGUGCAUGAGCACAGCCUCUGAAAGCAUGCUGUCAGAUGCCGGGUGUGAAACUCUGGCACUUGGGAUUGAUAAGGCUGGCACCAAAAGGAGCGUCCACCACUGGGUGGAUUCCAUUAUUGUUCCUAUGCUACAGGUGAAGAAGGUGAAGCUCAGAGAGAUCAAGUAGGGGUCGAUCUUUGUAAGGUGCCUCAGCUUUUUCAUGGAGAGAGGCUGGGAAGGAAGGCAUUGCAGUUACUUGUUAAUAUUCCUCAGAAUGUUAAUUUACUAUGAAGAUCUACUCCCUGUAGCUGAAGUUCCACUGAGAUGUGAUUAUAUUACCUGAGCGAAUGCUUAUAUUAUCUGGAAUAAGAACUGUUUCAUACUUAUAAGGUUCUUUAAUCUACUCUUGGCAGGUCUAAAUUAAACAAAGUCUAUUAGUUUUCUUCAG